RNAcentral lists this ribosomal RNA (530 nucleotides) under Debilos soror. RNAcentral's name for it is "partial 16S large subunit ribosomal RNA". The stretch from base 388 to 530 matches the Rfam family "Bacterial large subunit ribosomal RNA", at positions 2473 to 2615 of the family's 2925-position model. The record is from RNAcentral. Lineage: Eukaryota; Metazoa; Arthropoda; Insecta; Hymenoptera; Ichneumonidae.
AAAACAUGUCCUUUUGAUUAAAUUAAUUUAAGGUCUGAUCUGCACCAUGAAGAAUUUAAAUAGCUGCAGUAGCCUGACUGUACAAAGGUAGCAAAAUCAAUAGUUUUUUAAUUGAGAGCUGGAAUGAAUGAUUUGAUGAAGGAAUAAUUGUCUCAGUUUUAAUAAUUUUUUAAAUUUAUUUUUAGUAAAAAAUCUAAAAUGAUUUUUAAAGACGAGAAGACCCUAUAGAUUUUUAUAAAUAAAUUUAUUUUUAAUUUAAAAUAAUAAAUUUAUUUAUUAAGUUGGGGAAACUAUUAAAUUAAAUUAACUUUAAAAUUUAUUAACUUAAACAAUAAUUAUUGAAUUUAAGAUUUUUUAUUAAAAAUCAUUAGAAUUAAAUACCUUAGGGAUAACAGCGUAAUUUUUUUGGAGAGUUCUUAUUGAUAAAAAAGUUUGCGACCUCGAUGUUGAAUUAAGAUUUAAUUUUAAUGUAGAUGUUAAAAGUUUUUGGUCUGUUCGACCAUUAAAAUCUUACGUGAUCUGAGUUCAGA